RNAcentral lists this long non-coding RNA (433 nucleotides) under Pogonomyrmex barbatus (red harvester ant). Its description in RNAcentral is "uncharacterized LOC105433219, transcript variant X1". The record is from RNAcentral. Lineage: Eukaryota; Metazoa; Arthropoda; Insecta; Hymenoptera; Formicidae.
AAGAAACGUUUGUAAAGAAUUAUACAGACAGAAGCCGAGGAAUAUUUCAAAUAUAUGAAUAAUAAAAAUGGAAAUAGAGAAAAAUUAAAUAUGACAUCCUCAGGAUUAGAUGAUCUACUAAAACUCUAUGUAGAUCUGGCUAAAAUCUAUCAAGAGUGCAAUUUUACUUAUAAUCUAAAGUUUAAUGAUUUAUCUAUCUUAACUAAAAGAAACAAGAUACUGUCUAUAAUCAAGAUAAAUUCUGUACUCAUUAUUCAGGGAACAACCAGCUGUGAAAAAAUGACUUAAAUCCAUUCCACGAUUCUUAAUACUUAUAUGAAGAAGAGGCUUAACUGUAAUGUUAUAGGUAUAUUUUUAUCAAAUUUUUUAAUUUUUGUAUUAUUAUUAAAUCGUGUAUUAUUAUUAAAUCGUGAGAAAAGUAAUAUGUAGAUUA